RNAcentral lists this ribosomal RNA (609 nucleotides) under Entoloma sp. BC09-338. Its description in RNAcentral is "partial large subunit ribosomal RNA". It matches the Rfam family "Eukaryotic large subunit ribosomal RNA", at positions 61 to 652 of the family's 3401-position model. The record is from RNAcentral. Lineage: Eukaryota; Fungi; Basidiomycota; Agaricomycetes; Agaricales; Entolomataceae.
GAAACUAACAAGGAUUCCCUUAGUAACUGCGAGUGAAGUGGGAAAAGCUCAAAUUUAAAAUCUGGUAGUCUCUGGCUGCCCGAGUUGUAAUCUAGAGAAGUGUUAUCCGCGCUGGACCGUGUAUAAGUCUCCUGGAAUGGAGCGUCAUAGAGGGUGAGAAUCCCGUCUUUGACACGGACUGCCAGGGCUUUGUGAUGCGCUCUCGAAGAGUCGAGUUGUUUGGGAAUGCAGCUCUAAAUGGGUGGUAAAUUCCAUCUAAAGCUAAAUAUUGGCGAGAGACCGAUAGCGAACAAGUACCGUGAGGGAAAGAUGAAAAGAACUUUGGAAAGAGAGUUAAACAGUACGUGAAAUUGUUGAAAGGGAAACGCUUGAAGUCAGUCACAUUGAUCAGAAAUCAACCUUGCUUUUUGCUUGGUGUACUUUUUGGUUGAUGGGUCAGCAUCAAUUUCAGCCAGUGGAAAAAGAUCAGAGGAAUGUGGCAUCUUCGGAUGUGUUAUAGCCUCAGGUUAUAUACAUUGGCUGGGAUUGAGGAACUCAGCAUGCCGCAAGGCCGGGUUUUUAACCACGUUCAUGCUUAGGAUGCUGGCAUAAUGGCUUUAAUCGACCCGU